This 397-nucleotide ribosomal RNA is filed under the name uncultured bacterium. Its description in RNAcentral is "partial 16S ribosomal RNA". It matches the Rfam family "Bacterial small subunit ribosomal RNA", at positions 523 to 918 of the family's 1533-position model. The record is from RNAcentral.
AUACGUAGGUGACAAGCGUUAUCCGGAUUUACUGGGCGUAAAGGGCGUGUAGGCGGUCUUGCAAGUCAGAAGUGAAAUUCCUGAGCUCAACUCGGGCGCUGCUUCUGAAACUGCAGGACUUGAGUGCUGGAGGGGAUAGCGGAAUUCCUAGUGGAGCGGUAAAAUGCGCAGAUAUUAGGAAGAACACCGGGGGCGAAGGCGGCUAUCUGGAAUGUAACUGACGCUGAGGCGCGAAAGGAGGGGGAGCAAACAGGAUGAGAUCCCCUGGUAGUCCACGCCGUAAACGAUGAAUACUAGGUGUAGGGGGUAUCGACUCCCUCUGUGCCGCAGUUAACACAAUAAGUAUUCCGCCUGGGGAGUACGGCCGCAAGGUUGAAACUUAAAGGAAUUGGCGGGG